RNAcentral lists this long non-coding RNA (255 nucleotides) under Capsicum annuum. Its description in RNAcentral is "long non-coding RNA (CANN_LNC000861)". Lineage: Eukaryota; Viridiplantae; Streptophyta; Magnoliopsida; Solanales; Solanaceae. The record is from RNAcentral.
UUACCAUAAAGGUAUGUGGGGUUAUGAACAAGAACACCCUUUCGUUCUUGUGCCCACAGUUUGCAUUAUUUUACAAAGAUACAUGAUUUUUACAUGUUUUAUCAUGAAUUUGAAGUGAUAAAUCUUAUCCUAUGUUGUUGUUCAAGAUACUAUGAUUAUUUUGAAUGUUUAGAAAAUAAACUCCAUGAGUUUGAGAUUAUUGUUAUGAUUAAAGGCUGAAAUUUUUCAAAUUUCCGUAUAAAUUAUGCAUGCUUG